AAAUUGAAGAGUUUGAUCAUGGCUCAGAUUGAACGCUGGCGGCAGGCCUAACACAUGCAAGUCGAACGGUAACAGGAAGCAGCUUGCUGCUUUGCUGACGAGUGGCGGACGGGUGAGUAAUGUCUGGGAAACUGCCUGAUGGAGGGGGAUAACUACUGGAAACGGUGGCUAAUACCGCAUAAUGUCGCAAGACCAAAGAGGGGGACCUUCGGGCCUCUUGCCAUCAGAUGUGCCCAGAUGGGAUUAGCUUGUUGGUGAGGUAACGGCUCACCAAGGCGACGAUCCCUAGCUGGUCUGAGAGGAUGACCAGCCACACUGGAACUGAGACACGGUCCAGACUCCUACGGAGGCAGCAGUGGGGAAUAUUGCACAAUGGGCGCAAGCCUGAUGCAGCCAUGCCGCGUGUAUGAAGAAGGCCUUCGGGUUGUAAAGUACUUUCAGCGGGGAGGAAGGUGUUGUGGUUAAUAACCGCAGCAAUUGACGUUACCCGCAGAAGAAGCACCGGCUAACUCCGUGCCAGCAGCCGCGGUAAUACGGAGGGUGCAAGCGUUAAUCGGAAUUACUGGGCGUAAAGCGCACGCAGGCGGUCUGUCAAGUCGGAUGUGAAAUCCCCGGGCUCAACCUGGGAACUGCAUUCGAAACUGGCAGGCUUGAGUCUUGUAGAGGGGGGUAGAAUUCCAGGUGUAGCGGUGAAAUGCGUAGAGAUCUGGAGGAAUACCGGUGGCGAAGGCGGCCCCCUGGACAAAGACUGACGCUCAGGUGCGAAAGCGUGGGGAGCAAACAGGAUUAGAUACCCUGGUAGUCCACGCCGUAAACGAUGUCUACUUGGAGGUUGUGCCCUUGAGGCGUGGCUUCCGGAGCUAACGCGUUAAGUAGACCGCCUGGGGAGUACGGCCGCAAGGUUAAAACUCAAAUGAAUUGACGGGGGCCCGCACAAGCGGUGGAGCAUGUGGUUUAAUUCGAUGCAACGCGAAGAACCUUACCUGGUCUUGACAUCCACAGAACUUUCCAGAGAUGGAUUGGUGCCUUCGGGAACUGUGAGACAGGUGCUGCAUGGCUGUCGUCAGCUCGUGUUGUGAAAUGUUGGGUUAAGUCCCGCAACGAGCGCAACCCUUAUCCUUUGUUGCCAGCGGUCCGGCCGGGAACUCAAAGGAGACUGCCAGUGAUAAACUGGAGGAAGGUGGGGAUGACGUCAAGUCAUCAUGGCCCUUACGACCAGGGCUACACACGUGCUACAAUGGCGCAUACAAAGAGAAGCGACCUCGCGAGAGCAAGCGGACCUCAUAAAGUGCGUCGUAGUCCGGAUUGGAGUCUGCAACUCGACUCCAUGAAGUCGGAAUCGCUAGUAAUCGUGGAUCAGAAUGCCACGGUGAAUACGUUCCCGGGCCUUGUACACACCGCCCGUCACACCAUGGGAGUGGGUUGCAAAAGAAGUAGGUAGCUUAACCUUCGGGAGGGCGCUUACCACUUUGUGAUUCAUGACUGGGGUGAAGUCGUAACAAGGUAACCGUAGGGGAACCUGCGGUUGGAUCACCUCCUUACCUGAAAGAAGC
Molecule: ribosomal RNA, 1553 nt
Filed under: Salmonella enterica subsp. enterica serovar Muenster
Lineage: Bacteria; Pseudomonadati; Pseudomonadota; Gammaproteobacteria; Enterobacterales; Enterobacteriaceae
Description: bacterial SSU rRNA
Rfam family: Bacterial small subunit ribosomal RNA
Source: RNAcentral